RNAcentral lists this ribosomal RNA (639 nucleotides) under Staphylococcus hominis. RNAcentral's name for it is "bacterial LSU rRNA". It matches the Rfam family "Bacterial large subunit ribosomal RNA", at positions 2287 to 2925 of the family's 2925-position model. Lineage: Bacteria; Bacillati; Bacillota; Bacilli; Caryophanales; Staphylococcaceae. The record is from RNAcentral.
CUCCUAAAAGGUAACGGAGGCGCUCAAAGGUUCCCUCAGAAUGGUUGGAAAUCAUUCAUAGAGUGUAAAGGCAUAAGGGAGCUUGACUGCGAGACCUACAAGUCGAGCAGGGUCGAAAGACGGACUUAGUGAUCCGGUGGUUCCGCAUGGAAGGGCCAUCGCUCAACGGAUAAAAGCUACCCCGGGGAUAACAGGCUUAUCUCCCCCAAGAGUUCACAUCGACGGGGAGGUUUGGCACCUCGAUGUCGGCUCAUCGCAUCCUGGGGCUGUAGUCGGUCCCAAGGGUUGGGCUGUUCGCCCAUUAAAGCGGUACGCUAGCUGGGUUCAGAACGUCGUGAGACAGUUCGGUCCCUAUCCGUCGUGGGCGUAGGAAAUUUGAGAGGAGCUGUCCUUAGUACGAGAGGACCGGGAUGGACAUACCUCUGGUGUACCAGUUGUCGUGCCAACGGCAUAGCUGGGUAGCUAUGUAUGGACGGGAUAAGUGCUGAAAGCAUCUAAGCAUGAAGCCCCCCUCAAGAUGAGAUUUCCCAACUUCGGUUAUAAGAUCCCUCAGAGAUGAUGAGGUUAAUAGGUUCGAGGUGGAAGCGUGGUGACACGUGGAGCUGACGAAUACUAAUCGAUCGAAGACUUAAUCAAUUU